CAGUCGCCGCGGGAAUACGAAGGGGGCUAGCGUUGCUCGGAAUCACUGGGCGUAAAGGGUGCGUAGGCGGGUCUUUAAGUCAGGGGUGAAAUCCUGGAGCUCAACUCCAGAACUGCCUUUGAUACUGAAGAUCUUGAGUUCGGGAGAGGUGAGUGGAACUGCGAGUGUAGAGGUGAAAUUCGUAGAUAUUCGCAAGAACACCAGUGGCGAAGGCGGCUCACUGGCCCGAUACUGACGCUGAGGCACGAAAGCGUGGGGAGCAAACAGGAUUAGAUACCCCCGUAGUCCCUGUCUCUUAUAU
RNAcentral lists this ribosomal RNA (301 nucleotides) under uncultured bacterium. Its description in RNAcentral is "partial 16S ribosomal RNA". It matches the Rfam family "Bacterial small subunit ribosomal RNA", at positions 509 to 809 of the family's 1533-position model. The record is from RNAcentral.